RNAcentral lists this ribosomal RNA (544 nucleotides) under uncultured archaeon. RNAcentral describes it as "bacterial SSU rRNA". It matches the Rfam family "Archaeal small subunit ribosomal RNA", at positions 333 to 879 of the family's 1478-position model. The record is from RNAcentral.
CACCAGGCGCGAAACCUCUGCAAUAGGCGAAAGCUUGACAGGGUUACUCUGAGUGACGUCCGUUAAGGACGUCUUUUGGCACCUCUAAAAAUGGUGCAGAAUAAGGGGUGGGCAAGUCUGGUGUCAGCCGCCGCGGUAAUACCAGCACCCCGAGUGGUCGGGACGAUUAUUGGGCCUAAAGCAUCCGUAGCCGGUUCUGCAAGUCUUCCGUUAAAUCCACCUGCUCAACAGAUGGGCCGCGGAGGAUACUACAGGGCUAGGAGGCGGGAGAGGCAAGCGGUACUCAGUGGGUAGGGGUAAAAUCCUCUGAUCCACUGAAGACCACCAGUGGCGAAGGCGGCUUGCCAGAACGCGCUCGACGGUGAGGGAUGAAAGCUGGGGGAGCAAACCGGAUUAGAUACCCGGGUAGUCCCAGCUGUAAACGAUGCAGACUCGGUGAUGGGUUGGCUUCGAGCCAACCCAGUGCCGCAGGGAAGCCGUUAAGUCUGCCGCCUGGGGAGUACGGUCGCAAGAGUGAAACUUAAAGGAAUUGGCGGGGGAGCAC